Molecule: RNA transcript, 1592 nt
Organism: Mus musculus (house mouse)
Lineage: Eukaryota; Metazoa; Chordata; Mammalia; Rodentia; Muridae
Gene: Iqck
Gene name: IQ motif containing K
Exons: 10
Source: RefSeq, marked validated
GGUUGCUGUAGAAACCGCGUCCAUGGCGGCGCCGAGACUUGUAUCCAGCCGCAGCGUGCUGCGUGAGGAGGCGAGCGGCUCCGCGGAUUCGCCGAUCACUACGCGCACGCCGGUGCCCGCAGUGUCGCCCGGGUCUCCCGAAGUGCUCGUGUCACCCCCGCAGGUCGUCGAGCCGCCGGGGAAGAGCCUAUGGGAUCAGAUCUGCGAGGAGUAUGAAGCUGAGCAGCCGACCUUUCCAGAAGGCUAUAAAGUGAAGCAGGAAGCUGCGGUUACAGUGAGCUCAGUCACGCCCUUGGAGGAAUUGGUUCCUCAUGGCUUCAACAUGGAGCACUACCUCCCAAUACACCAGUUCCCAGCGAUGCCUCCUGUGCCCUGUCCUCCCAAGAAGGCAGAAACAGUCGAGCCCAAGACCUGUUCACCCAGAGAUUAUCUGGAAAUGUUCAUCUUUCCAGUUCUGCUCCCUGGAAUGGCCAGCCUGCUUCACCAAGCAAAGAGAGAAAAAUGUUUUGAGAGGAAGAGAACCAAAUUCAUUGCCUGCGAUUUCCUGACUGAGUGGCUGUACAAAAUCCGAAGAGGGCAGGGGAGUCAUUCACAGAAUUCUUCUCCAUUCCAUUUGUGGAAGACUGGCUCAAGGACCACUGCUAGACUCCCUACUUCCACGUUAGCUGCUCUUCCCUUCUCUGGUCACUCUUCUGGACAGCUUGCAUUCUAGCCCGCGGCCACCAAUUCCACUCUCCCUGCUACUGACAGAAGAAGAAGCAGCAGUCAGGAUCCAGGCCUUCUGGAGAGCCUAUCUGGUUCGCUGUGACCCUGAGAUUCAGGAGCUGCGGCAGUGGCAGAAGAAGCUGCGCGAGGACAAGCACAUCCGCCAGCGGGUGAAGAUCUUCUGGGCCAAGCAGGAGCAGAAAAUGAAAUGUAAAAUGGAGGACGAGGAAGCACCGGCUGCCUCAGCACCAUAUCCUUAGCCGACGUCAGUUGCUCCGUAUGGAAGGAUGAUGUAUCCAGUCUGUACUUUCCCUAGUACGGUGUCUUUAACAAGCCUUAGUGUGGUGGAUACAGAACCCUUUGAACGUGAGGAGGGAUUUGUUGCCGAGAAGCCAAAGCACUUUAGCUUCCUGCCUGACCCCAAAUCCUCUCCACGGUGUCAGCAACAUCCUCUGAGCUGUCACUAUUGGCAUGCCUCGUGACCGUGUCCUCUGACACCAGUGUUCCCACUUUUGCCAAGAUCCCUAUUUUAACUUACCUCCGAUCUCUGUGUUGUUUUGCCUUGGUUUUGGGGUGUUGGGGUAACCAGUGGGGCCAAGGCUCUAGCACUGAGUUGUUUCCAGCCCAAUAAGAGGCAGUUGUCAGAAAGGAUUUCCAUUGUUAAAGCCCCAAAGUAUUACAGCAGUGCCCUAUUAACUUAAUGGUCCCAUUGGUUCUGUGGCUGCUGCUCGCCAGGAUUCUCCCAUUUAAAAUGCCCAGACGUGGCUGAAAGCCUCCUCAGUAGUAUCUGACUGACAAGCUACCACGCAUCUUAGGUAAAUAGUAAAGCCUUUAUUUUCUUGUUAAGAACAGCAUUUUGAAAAUAAAACCUAUCUGCCCAUGCUUAA